Molecule: ribosomal RNA, 500 nt
Filed under: uncultured bacterium
Lineage: Bacteria
Description: partial 16S ribosomal RNA
Rfam family: Bacterial small subunit ribosomal RNA
Source: RNAcentral
AUUGAACGCUGGCGGCAUGCUUUACACAUGCAAGUCGAACGGCAGCACGGACUUCGGUCUGGUGGCGAGUGGCGAACGGGUGAGUAAUACAUCGGAACGUACCCAGUAAUGGGGGGUAACUAUCCGAAAGGAUAGCUAAUACCGCAUACGCCCUACGGGGGAAAGAGGGGGAUCGCAAGACCUCUUGUUAUUGGAGCGGCCGAUGGCUGAUUAGCUAGUUGGUGAGGUAAAGGUUCACCAAGGCGACGAUCAGUAGCGGGUCUUAGAGGACGAUCCGCCACACUGGAACUGAGACACGGUCCAGACUCCUACGGGAGGCGGCAGUGGGGAAUCUUGGACAAUGGGCGCAAGCCUGAUCCAGCAAUGCCGCGUGCGUGAAGAAGGCCUUCGGGUUGUAAAGCGCUUUUGUCAGGGAGCAAAUCCUUGUGGCUAAUACCCACCGGGGAUGAGAGUACCUGAAGAAUAAGGACCGGCUAACUACGUGCCAGCCGCCGCAGUAA